ACGUAGGGGGCGAGCGUUAUUCGGAAUUACUGGGUGUAAAGGGUAUGUAGGCGGCCCUUCAAGUCGCGUGUCAAAGUCUAGUGCUCAACGCUGGGUGUGCGCGCGAUACUGUGGGUCUUGAGUGCUGGUGAGGAGAGCGGAAUUCCCGGUGUAGUGGUGAAAUGCGUAGAGAUCAGGAGGAAUACCAGCGGCGCAGGCGGCUUUCUAGACCGUCACUGACGCUAAGCUGCGAAAGUGUGGGUAGCAAACAG
RNAcentral lists this ribosomal RNA (251 nucleotides) under uncultured prokaryote. RNAcentral's name for it is "partial 16S rRNA". It matches the Rfam family "Bacterial small subunit ribosomal RNA", at positions 525 to 775 of the family's 1533-position model. The record is from RNAcentral.